RNAcentral lists this small RNA (1146 nucleotides) under Pan troglodytes (chimpanzee). RNAcentral describes it as "retained intron". The record is from RNAcentral. Lineage: Eukaryota; Metazoa; Chordata; Mammalia; Primates; Hominidae.
GCUGGAGGGGGACAGGUAGUUAAGGGCCUGGCGUCUCCCUCCCUGAAGACGUGGUCCCAGCCGGGUGUCCUGACGCUCGGGGUUCAGGACAAGGGCACACAACUGGUUCCGUUAAGCCCCUCUCUCGCUCAGACGCCAUGGAGCUGGAUCUGUCUCCACCUCAUCUUAGCAGCUCUCCGGAAGACCUUUGCCCAGCCCCUGGGACCCCUCCUGGGACUCCCCGGCCCCCUGAUACCCCUCUGCCUGAGGAGGUAAAGAGGUCCCAGCCUCUCCUCAUCCCAACCACCGGCAGGAAACUUCGAGAGGAGGAGAGGCGUGCCACCUCCCUCCCCUCUAUCCCCAACCCCUUCCCUGAGCUCUGCAGUCCUCCCUCACAGAGCCCCAUUCUCGGGGGCCCCUCCAGUGCAAGGGGGCUGCUCCCCCGCGAUGCCAGCCGCCCCCAUGUGAGUUGUCCCUCAGAAGGGAAGGGAGGGAUGCACGGGUUCUGGGUCUGUGGGAGAUACACAGCCGCUUCCAUGGAGGCGGGGGAUCUUGGUUAGGAGUCCCUGAGGGUCUAGCAGGUGCGGAAAGGGAAUGAAUCACCCUUUGCCUCCCCUCAAGUCGUGUGCAAUUCCUGGGGCGCAGGUAGUAAAGGUGUACAGUGAGGAUGGGGCCUGCAGGUCUGUGGAGGUGGCAGCAGGUGCAACAGCUCGCCACGUGUGUGAAAUGCUGGUGCAGCGAGCUCACGCCUUGAGCGACGAGACCUGGGGGCUGGUGGAGUGCCACCCCCACCUAGCACUGGAGCGGGGUUUGGAGGACCACGAGUCCGUGGUGGAAGUGCAGGCUGCCUGGCCCGUGGGCGGAGAUAGCCGCUUCGUCUUCCGGAAAAACUUCGCCAACACUCCCUGUUCCCAGAAAAAAUGGUCUCCAGCUGUCUCGAUGCACACACUGGUAUAUCCCAUGAAGACCUCAUCCAGAACUUCCUGAAUGCUGGCAGCUUUCCUGAGAUCCAGGGCUUUCUGCAGCUGCGGGGUUCAGGACGGAAGCUUUGGAAACGCUUUUUCUGCUUCUUGCGCCGAUCUGGCCUCUAUUACUCUACCAAGGGCACCUCUAAGGAUCCGAGGCACCUGCAGUACGUGGCAGAUGUGAACGAGUCCAACGUGUACG